Molecule: ribosomal RNA, 465 nt
Filed under: Vreelandella stevensii
Lineage: Bacteria; Pseudomonadati; Pseudomonadota; Gammaproteobacteria; Oceanospirillales; Halomonadaceae
Description: partial 16S ribosomal RNA
Rfam family: Bacterial small subunit ribosomal RNA
Source: RNAcentral
CCUACGGGAGGCAGCAGUGGGGAAUAUUGGACAAUGGGCGAAAGCCUAAUCCAGCCAUGCCGCGUGUGUGAAGAAGGCCUUCGGGUUGUAAAGCACUUUCAGUGGGGAAGAAAGCCUUGGGGCUAAUACCCUCGAGGAAGGACAUCACCCACAGAAGAAGCACCGGCUAACUCCGUGCCAGCAGCCGCGGUAAUACGGAGGGUGCGAGCGUUAAUCGGAAUUACUGGGCGUAAAGCGCGCGUAGGCGGUCUGAUAAGCCGGUUGUGAAAGCCCCGGGCUCAACCUGGGAACGGCAUCCGGAACUGGCAGGGUAGGGUGCAGGAGAGGAAGGUAGAAUUCCCGGGUGAGCGGUGAAAUGCGUAGGGGUCGGGAGGAAUACCAGUGGGGAAGGCGGCCUUCUGGACUGACACUGACGCUGAGGUGCGAAAGCGUGGGUAGCAAACAGGAAUAGGUACCCUUGUAGUC